This 1225-nucleotide long non-coding RNA is filed under the name Linum usitatissimum (flax). Its description in RNAcentral is "long non-coding RNA (LUSI_LNC002715)". The record is from RNAcentral. Lineage: Eukaryota; Viridiplantae; Streptophyta; Magnoliopsida; Malpighiales; Linaceae.
UCUCUCUCUCCUCUCUUCUCUCUUCUCUAUUCUCUCUGCCUUCUCUCUAAUUCUCCUCCCCUCUUCUCUCCUUCCCCUUCUCUAUCGCCGCCGCGUCAUUGCCGCCGCCGCGACUAUUUUUUUUUUUAUAACUUUUUUCUUUCUUGGCCGCCUCUUCCCCGUCACCCUUUAAAUUUCCAGCGACGACGGUCGCUGCCUAUAUCUCACAUCUCCUCUCCCGGUCAUCACCAUGGAAAGAAAGAAAAGGUAAAGAUUUCUGAGCUCUUCUCUCUGUUUUUUCGAUUUCAUUAGACUUGCAUGUCAUUUAGGGAGGCUCCGGCGAGCCCUCCGGUGACAUGCAUGUCCUGCUCCGUAGAUCUAAGUUUGAAGUCCAUUUUUUUGAUUUUGUGAGUUCUAUUUUCUUGUUUUUAUUUUUUGUUGGAUGCAGAAAUCGAUGGCAGCAGCGGAUAGAGAGGAAACAACUUGGUAAAAAGUUUAGUAUAUUUCUUUAGCUGAUUUUCAUUUCGUUGGUUGUGUGGGAAUAAGCUAAAUUUUCAAAUUAGGUCUUAUUUUAAAAAGUGGUUUUUUUGCUAAUGUAAAAGAAAUUUCAGCAACUUCAGUUAAGUUUUGAAUCUUAUUUUAGGGUUUGCUAGCAUGUUUACCAACAUGAAACGUUCCCUUGAUUAGUCAUAAUGAAUAUUCGAGGAUGAUUUUUAAGAGAGUAUAAGUGCCACAAAAUGUAUGUAUGAAUAUUGCAUGAAUGCUUUUGAAUAGGAAUGUUUGGAUGAUUACCUGUAAAUCAAAUCUUCUUGCUUUUUGUCGUAUAUCAGGUAGCGACCCUUAUGCGAGUGACGACGAAGCGAAUGACGACAGAUGUUUUUAGUGUUUAGUCUUAAGUUAUUUGUGCUGUAAUAACUUUUUUCUUUUUUGGACUGUAUUUUUAGGGGAUUAUGGGUCACAUUCUUGGGAAAAAGCUCUCAUCCCAAACCCCCUCCUUGGAUGUCCUUUUAAAUCAAAAAAAGAGGCUGCCACCUCCCCUUUCUCCGACCAUAAUUUGCGACGUUUUCUAACAAUACAAGAGAGGUGGCAGCCUCUUAGUUAAUAAUAGUAACGGGCCCAAAAUUGGGUCUGAAAUCGGGCCCGAAAAGUAUUAACACUAAAAUUCGAAAGCCCGGACAAAUUUGGUUACUACAACUUCGACGACGAUGAUGAGCAGAUCUCGUCGGACGGUGAUGGCAAUGAUGAU